GUAGGUGAACCUGCGGAAGGAUCAUUAAAGAGACGUUGCCCUUCGGGGUCGACCUCCCACCCUAUGUUUAUCAUACCUCUGUUGCUUUGGCAGGCCCGUCCUCGGACCGCCGGCUCCGGCCGGCCCGUGCCUGCCAGGGAACCUAAAACUCUGUUUGUUAAUGCAGUCUGAGUAAACUUAAUUAAUAAAUUAAAACUUUUAACAACGGAUCUCUUGGUUCUG
This 222-nucleotide unclassified non-coding RNA is filed under the name rhizosphere metagenome. RNAcentral describes it as "partial ribosomal RNA internal transcribed spacer region". The record is from RNAcentral.